RNAcentral lists this ribosomal RNA (500 nucleotides) under uncultured bacterium. Its description in RNAcentral is "partial 16S ribosomal RNA". It matches the Rfam family "Bacterial small subunit ribosomal RNA", at positions 30 to 523 of the family's 1533-position model. The record is from RNAcentral.
AUUGAACGCUGGCGGAAUGCUUUACACAUGCAAGUCGAACGGCAGCACGGACUUCGGUCUGGUGGCGAGUGGCGAACGGGUGAGUAACAUAUCGGAACGUAUCCAAUAAUGGGGGAUAACUAAUCGAAAGGUUGGCUAAUACCGCAUACGCCCUACGGGGGAAAGCAGGGGAUCUUCGGACCUUGCGUUAAUGGAGCGGCGGAUAUCUGAUUAGCUAGUUGGUGAGGUAAAGGCUCACCAAGGCGACGAUCAGUAGCUGGUCUGAGAGGACGACCAGCCACACUGGAACUGAGACACGGUCCAGACUCCUACGGGAGGCAGCAGUGGGGAAUUUUGGACAAUGGGCGCAAGCCUGAUCCAGCCAUUCCGCGUGAGUGAAGAAGGCCUUCGGGUUGUAAAGCUCUUUCGCAAGGGAAGAAAACUUACUUUCUAAUAAAGAGUGAGGUUGAUGGUACCUUGAUAAGAAGCACCGGCUAACUACGUGCCAGCCGCCGCGGUAA